ACUCCAACCCAAUGUGACGCUACCAAACUGUUGCCUCGGCGGGGUCACGCCCCGGGCGCGUCGCAGCCCCGGAACCAGGCGCCCGCCGGAGGGACCAACCAAACCCUUCUGUAGUCCCCUCGCGGACGUUAUUUCUUACAGCUCUGAGCAAAAACACAAAAUGAAUCAAAACUUUCAACAACGGAUCUCUUGGUUCUGGCAUCGAUGAAGAACGCAGCGAAAUGCGAUAAGUAAUGCGAAUUGCAGAAUUCAGUGAAUCAUCGAAUCUUUGAACGCACAUUGCGCCCGCCAGUAUUCUGGCGGGCAUGCCUGUCCGAGCGUCAUUUCAACCCUCGAGCCCCCCCGGGGGAUCGGCGUUGGGGAUCGGGACCCCUCACACGGGUGCCGGCCCUGAAAUACAGUGGCGGUCUCGCCGCAGCCUCCCCUGCGCAGUAGUUUGCACAACUCGCACCGGGACCGCGGCGCGUCCACGUCCGUAAAACACCCAACUUUCCGAAAUGUUGACCUCGGAUCAGGUAGGAAUACCCGCUGAACUUAAGCAUAUCAAUAAGCGGAGGAAAAGAAACCAACAGGGAUUGCCCCAGUAACGGCGAGUGAAGCGGCAACAGCUCAAAUUUGAAAUCUGGCCCCUCGGGGUCCGAGUUGUAAUUUGUAGAGGAUGCUUUUGGUGAGGUGCCGCCCGAGUUCCCUGGAACGGGACGCCACAGAGGGUGAGAGCCCCGUCUGGCUGGCCACCGAGCCUCUGUAAAGCUCCUUCGACGAGUCGAGUAGUUUGGGAAUGCUGCUCAAAAUGGGAGGUAUAUGUCUUCUAAAGCUAAAUAUUGGCCAGAGACCGAUAGCGCACAAGUAGAGUGAUCGAAAGAUGAAAAGCACCUUGAAAAGAGGGUUAAACAGUACGUGAAAUUGUUGAAAGGGAAGCGCUUGUGACCAGACUCGGGCGUGGCGGAUCAUCCGGGGUUCUCCCCGGUGCACUUCGCCGCGUCCGGGCCAGCAUCAGUUCGCCGCGGGGGAAAAAGGCUUCGGGAACGUGGCUCCCCCGGGAGUGUUAUAGCCCGUUGCACAAUACCCUGCGGUGGACUGAGGACCGCGCAUAAUCUGCAAGGAUGCUGGCGUAAUGGUCACCAGCGACCCGUCUUGAAACACGGACCAAGGAGUCGUCUUCGUAUGCGAGUGUUCGGGUGUCAAACCCCUACGCGUAAUGAAAGUAAACGCAGGUGAGAGCUUCGGCGCAUCAUCGACCGAUCCUGAUGUUAUCGGAUGGAUUUGAGUAAGAGCAUACGGGGCCGGACCCGAAAGAAGGUGAACUAUGCCUGUAUAGGGUGAAGCCAGAGGAAACUCUGGUGGAGGCUCGCAGCGGUUCUGACGUGCAAAUCGAUCGUCAAAUAUGGGCAUGGGGGCGAAAGAC
RNAcentral lists this ribosomal RNA (1405 nucleotides) under Trichoderma viride. Its description in RNAcentral is "eukaryotic LSU rRNA". The stretch from base 502 to 1405 matches the Rfam family "Eukaryotic large subunit ribosomal RNA", at positions 1 to 931 of the family's 3401-position model. The record is from RNAcentral. Lineage: Eukaryota; Fungi; Ascomycota; Sordariomycetes; Hypocreales; Hypocreaceae.